GGCCCCACCGCUCCUCGCCAUCUUGAUUUCCGACAGUAUGCUCUCGGCUCACCACAGAGUAUACAGAGUGUGGGGGCGGCUUGAUCAGGUGCGUACACACACUCGCCUGUGGAACUCGCCUCGCCACCGAUUCACAUCUUCCAUCAUCAGUCGCAUCUUCUCCGUCUUCCGGAUCUUUUAGACAACUUCUAAGAAAUGACAUCUGCUCACGUGUAAACUGAGGGUGACGAGUCAUUCCUUGGAAUCUAGCUUCUCGUCCAUACGAAGUUCAUUUAUUUAAACGAGUUCUACCGGUAGUAGAAUGAACAAUCAGAUUCCGUAGAAAAGUAUACUGCUUGGUAAAGCUCUUGAAAGGACGUGAUUAAGUUUUUAGGGACUUAAGAUGUUCCACAAGAAGAAAGGAUUUACUUUUCAACUUCAGAUGUGAAGGGGAAUAAGGAAUCUUGUCGUUUCUUUAAGUUUAGAAGCAGAUUCGAAAUUUUCGAUUUGUACAGCAUCUUUGGAAAAAGUAACCGCAGCAUCAGAGAGAAGAGAGAGAUGCGUUGAUGUAUUGUUCUCCAUCCGCGAGGCUCAAGGUUUUCAGCUCGGUGAAUACACGGUAACCAUGAGCCAGGAACCUGUUCUCCCCGUGUGAGAGAAGGUUCACUUUGGCUCUUUAAAGGCUCUUCACGCGCGCCUUCUUUGCUUCUUCGGUUUUUGACUUCACAAGUAACCACCAGCGCAGCCAGCAUUUCCUACGAGUUCUCGGUUAACAUUAUUCCAACAAUACCGACUUCGCCAAGAUUAUGUAUGUAAAUGUAAAUGUAAAUAUGUUAGGUACGAUUUUAAUAAAAAAUUAUGUAAAACAUA
This is a long non-coding RNA of Ceratina calcarata, 849 nucleotides long. RefSeq lists it as uncharacterized. The record is from RefSeq and is a predicted model, not a curated record. Lineage: Eukaryota; Metazoa; Arthropoda; Insecta; Hymenoptera; Apidae. The transcript has 2 exons.